Molecule: long non-coding RNA, 2966 nt
Filed under: Daucus carota (carrot)
Lineage: Eukaryota; Viridiplantae; Streptophyta; Magnoliopsida; Apiales; Apiaceae
Description: long non-coding RNA (DCAR_LNC000420)
Source: RNAcentral
UUCAUUGGUUGUUCCUCACAAAAGUUUUCUAAAUUACUCAAGCUUUUAUAUAUGGGUAAUGGAUGACUACGGGAAAUAGGUAUCUUGGACUAGGUGGUCCAUCACCCAUAUAUAAAAGCUUGAGUUUAGAAAACUUGUGUGAGGAACACCUAGUGAAAGUGAGUCAUUUAAUGUAUCGAUAAUAACUGGCUCUUCAAGAGAAAUUUUAAAAGGAUCUGGCCAUGACAAAAAUUUGAAUUGUUCAUCUUCAAUGUCAAAUGACAUUACUGCUUUGGAAAGUCUAUCUUCAAUACCUGCAGAAUCAGUAACCCAAUGAAAUGCCUAUUGUAAAGGUCAGAUGAAAUAAGGAGCAGAGAUACCAAAGAAUAUCACUGGAUCAUUGAAAUGAGGGGCACUUGAUCAGGCUCAUGACAUGGAAGAGUUGUCACAUCAUGUGCACUACGACAAUUAGGAUAUUGGACAAAUGAUCUUCCUAUAAUGACAACAUAUGAGAGCGAUUUUUUUUUGAUGACCCUACUAAGAACGAAAGAACACUCCAGUUUUUUGUAUUUCUGCACACAAUGUGAAGCAGCGGAUUUGUGGAAUAUCCUAAUUGUCGUAGUGUGUAACAAUUCUUUAAUACCUUGAGCCUGAUCAAGUUCCCCUCAUUUCAAUAAUUUAGUGAUACACUUUCGUGUCACUGCUCCUUAUUUUAUCUGGCCUUUAACAUAGGCAUUUCAUUGGGUUACUGAUUCUGCAGAUAUUGAAGAUCGACUUUCCAAAGCAAUAGUUUCCUUUGACAUUGAAGAUGAACAAUUCAAAUUUUUUACAUGGAUGGACCCUCAUAAAAUUCCUCUUGAAAAGCGAGUGAUUAUCGAUACAUUAAAUGACUCACUUUCACUGGUUGUUCCUCACAAAAGUUUUCUAAACUUAAGCUUUUAUAUAUGGGUGAUGGAUGACUAGGUGAAAUAGGUAUCUCUUUUGGACUAGGCGAUACAUCACCCGUCUAUAAAAGCUUGAGUUUAGAAAACUUGUGUAAGGAACAAUCACUGAAAGUGAGUCAUUUAAUGGAUCGAUAAUAACUGGCUCUUGAAGAGGAAUUUUAAAAGGAUCUAGCUAUUAAAAAAAAUUGAAUUGUUCAUCUUCAAUGUCAAAUGACACUACUGCUUUGGAAAGUCUAUCUUCAAUACCUGCAGAAUCAAUAACCCAAUGAAAUGCCUAUUUUAAAGGUCAGAUGAAAUAAGGAGCAGAGAUACCAAAGAGUAUCACUGGAUCAUCGAAAUGAGGGGCACUUGAUCAGGCUCAUGACAUGGAAGAGUUGUCACAUCAUGUGCACUAGCUACGACAAUUAGGAUAUUGGACAAAUGAUCUUCCUAAAAUGACAACAUAUGAGAGCGAUUUUUUUUUCCGAUGAUCCUAAAAUCCAAGAACGAAAGAACACUCCAGUUUUUUGUAACUUCAGUUAUGUUCAGUUAUGUUUCAUUAUGUUCUAUCCUGAGGAAAAUAAUAUCGUUAUCAUUGGCAGGGAGGAUGGCUCUAUACUAAUCUAUGGUGUUCAGAAAGAUAUGGUCUGUAUCUAUAUAUACUGAUAUCUAAGUGUUGUGCAUUAAAAAUGAAAUAUCAUAAUAUAGCUAUUAAGUUCUUAUUAUCUAUUUAGCUUAUAUAGAAGAUAUCAGAUGCAUCGGCACAUUUCUGUCAAGUGUCACCAGGACCAAAGACAUUUGUUAGUUGUACAUGAAAGUUGUAUAGCCACUCUUGAAGGACCUAAUCUCGAGACCUGCAAGCAGGUAUCUGUUAAUUAUUUGCAGUGUUAACAAUUAAUUUAUAUGCUUUGUUGAAUAUCACAACAUGCUUCACCCACGCUUUAUUAGACCUUAUUUGAAAGAGGUCGGGGUGAUGGUUUUGGGUGCAACUAUAAUGUGUAUUAAUGAUCAAGCACAUAACAAAUAUAUAUUAAUUGUGUGUGUACAUAUAUACCUACAUGAAAACAAUCAUAUUCAACAGAACAUGACACUGAUUUUUCUAAAAUUGCCCCUGGUGCAAUAUCAUGUCGCUCUGCUAUAUAUUGAGAGUAACAUCUAAGUUCUUAAUGACAGAAGAAAUUCUCAAGCUCUUUAAAUAUUUCUCAGUAGAUUCCCGGGGAAUUGAUCGGUGAUGCUGCAUAUAUAUUCAUGUGAUGGCCAGUCCAUAUAUGCCUGCUUUCUUAACAGGCACAUUGUUUUCUUGGACUCGGCAUCUUUGACCAUAAAGUUUUUUAUCAAUCCGAGUGCAUAUUUACCUUGUAAUUAAAGGUAGGUGUUAUGUUUAAUUAAAAUGUAUCCUGAAAAUAUGAGCUUAUUAGCGAUAACACGCUCUUGACUGGAAGCUGCCUUCUGUAUUAUAUCUACAGCCCGGUGAUGUACGCUUCUACUCUUGAGGCUAAUCCUACAAAACACAAUCAGUUUGCUCUCGGGCUUAGUACUGAUGGUGGCGUACUAGUUAUAGAACUUGAGGAAGAGGAUAUUGGGGUUGGCAUUGUAGCACGCCUUAGCUUGAGACCAGCAACAACUGAGAACUUGAUAUGAGCUUUUGUGAUAAUCAGAGCCCAGUAUCUCUUGAAAUCUAUGUGUUUUAAAACAUACAUCUAGGGAUUGGAUUAGUGCAAGUUUUUUUUUUGCUGGACUAUGUUAAGUGGUAAAUGUUCGAUGCAAAUAUAGACGUAGUGAAAAAGUUUAAAUGAGAAUUGUCAACAAAGUAUGAAAAUAAGAAAAGAAAGCCAAUAUUUUGACAUAAACAAUGUUUCACUUAUACCCCCUGUAAUUUUCAAUGCAAAUACAUAUGUAGCUGCCCAAUUUCAAAAGGGAAUUAUCAAAACAAAUAUGCAAAUAUACAUGCUUGACUAUGUUAAUUGAUAAAUUUUUAAUUGAAAUAUACAUGUAGAAGCAGAAUUUGAAAUGAGAACGGUCAACAUAGUAUGAAAUAUGAAAAUAAUAAAAGAAACUUAAUGU